This 204-nucleotide non-coding RNA is filed under the name Ectopseudomonas oleovorans. Lineage: Bacteria; Pseudomonadati; Pseudomonadota; Gammaproteobacteria; Pseudomonadales; Pseudomonadaceae. The record is from RNAcentral.
UGAAAAAACGCCAACGCAGGUAGUUUUCAACGGUCUGCUGAACGGGAAGUCGGUGCCCUCUCCAUGAGCAAUCCCGACGCUGCCCCCGCAACGGUAAUCGACUGCAAGCAUCACGCUUGUCCCUAUCCAACCGCCACUGGGAGCCCCCGGGAAGGCGGCUAGGGGUCGAGAGCCCGGAGACCGGCCAAGGCGGAUCGACUGGUG